AUUGUCCUACGGGGCGCAGCAGUGGGGAAUAUUGCACAAUGGGGGAAACCCUGAUGCAGCAACGCCGCGUGAGUGAAGAAGUCAUUCGUGAUGUAAAGCUCUAUCAGCAGGGAAGAAAAUGACGGUACCUGAGUAAGAAGCCCCGGCUAACUACGUGACAGCAGCCGCGGUAAUAAGUAGGGGGCAAGCGUUAUCCGGAUUUACUGGGUGUAAAGGGAGCGUAGCCGGCCAGACAAGUCUGAAGUGAA
This 248-nucleotide ribosomal RNA is filed under the name uncultured bacterium. RNAcentral describes it as "partial 16S ribosomal RNA". It matches the Rfam family "Bacterial small subunit ribosomal RNA", at positions 333 to 598 of the family's 1533-position model. The record is from RNAcentral.